This is a non-coding RNA of Plutella xylostella (diamondback moth), 849 nucleotides long. The record is from RefSeq and is a predicted model, not a curated record. NCBI's taxonomy places the organism in Eukaryota, Metazoa, Arthropoda, Insecta, Lepidoptera, Plutellidae.
UGAUAAGGUCACUCAUACGUGACGUGGCGCUGAAUAACACACGUCCAAAUCGUGAAGGUUUGCGAGAGUUGCAGAGGCAGCGUGCGUCUGAACUGCUGGAGAUGAACAGAGAGAGGCAGGAUGCAUAUGUAAAUAAAAAUCGCAAACCAGCACGCCUCUUUAAACUUAACGAUAUGGUCUUUGUCACAAAGUGUUCACAGAUGUCUGGCAAGCUGGACUCAGGGAUGCGAGGGCCUUAUCGGGUAAAGAAGGUUUUGCCCCAUGGCCGUUACGAACUGCAACUGCUUAGUGGUUCAUACGGCAAGAUAACUCAGGCUGCUGCUGAGCACAUGGUUAUUUGGCGAGGAGAGUGGACCCCUGAGUCCUGUGCAACUUUUUUCGAUUCAAUGGAAGAAGACAUUGCAGACAGUGAAGCUCAGCGUUGUGAGCAACAGGGUCCAUCCAGGGAAAACGCCAACCAGCCAACAGAAGCCGUACCAGUGGAAGUCAUCCCGGAGAGUCCAGCCAGCUGCCAUGACGUCUGAACAUACGUGACACACAUGAAGGAAGUGUUCGAGGACGAACACCUGUCAGGAGAGGCCGUGUUAGCGGUGUCCGCCACCCUGAGAGCAUCACUAGCCGCGCGCCUAUAAAAGCGGAGUGAGAGGUUGCGCCGCCCUCUUUCCUGAUCCAGCCGUCGAAGCGUUAGCACUGUUCAGCUCGUGUCUAGUGUAGCUAGGUUAUUUAGUGAUAGGUUAUAGUUGUGUUUAGCGUGGUUUAGUUUUGUGAUUUAGUUGUGUAAAUUAUUGUUGAUAAAUGAUUAAUUAAGUUUGUAAAUAUUAAUUGAUUAAAGGUUGUAGGUGUCCUGUG